RNAcentral lists this transfer RNA (73 nucleotides) under Phycisphaerae bacterium. RNAcentral's name for it is "tRNA-Thr". It matches the Rfam family "tRNA". From Rfam's summary of the family: Transfer RNA (tRNA) molecules are approximately 80 nucleotides in length. Their secondary structure includes four short double-helical elements and three loops (D, anti-codon, and T loops). Further hydrogen bonds mediate the characteristic L-shaped molecular structure. tRNAs have two regions of fundamental functional importance: the anti-codon, which is responsible for specific mRNA codon recognition, and the 3' end, to which the tRNAs corresponding amino acid is attached (by aminoacyl-tRNA synthetases). tRNAs cope with the degeneracy of the genetic code in two manners: having more than one tRNA (with a specific anti-codon) for a particular amino acid; and 'wobble' base-pairing, i.e. permitting non-standard base-pairing at the 3rd anti-codon position. Lineage: Bacteria; Pseudomonadati; Planctomycetota; Phycisphaerae. RNAcentral also lists the same sequence under 2 other names. The record is from RNAcentral.
GCCGCCGUAGCUCAGUUGGUAGAGCAGCGGUUUUGUAAACCGCAGGUCAACGGUUCGAGUCCGUUCGGCGGCU